This 365-nucleotide ribosomal RNA is filed under the name uncultured Cystobacter sp. RNAcentral's name for it is "bacterial SSU rRNA". It matches the Rfam family "Bacterial small subunit ribosomal RNA", at positions 958 to 1332 of the family's 1533-position model. The record is from RNAcentral. Lineage: Bacteria; Pseudomonadati; Myxococcota; Myxococcia; Myxococcales; Archangiaceae.
AACACGAAGAGCCUUUACUACCCCUUCACAUAUAGAAAUUCGCACAGAUGAUGGAGUUUCCAAAGGAACUUAGAACCAGUGGUGCAAUGUCGUUGUUCAGCUGGGUUUGUAGAAGGUGGGGUUAAUUCCGCAACGAAGGCCAACCUUUUUCUAUGUUCAACAAGGUAAGGGGGGGGACUUAAGGAGCCCCGGGGUAUGCUCGAAGGAAGGUGGGGAGGCGUCCAAUUCUCCAUCGCCUUUAUUGGUAGGCUUACCCCAGUGCUACAAUGGGGGUACAGAGGGAAGCCAACUCGCGAGAGGGAGCCGAUUCCAGAAACCGUUUUGUAGUCCGAAUGGAUUGCCACUUGGCUCCAUGAAGUGGAAAU